CAAAGUUCCUGGGAGCUUGAGGACAGGUGUGCAGCCUUGCUUGCUGUCUACCCUGGUUCUCAGAGCACUUUCCAAAGAGCUUCCAUGGUGACGUCAUCAGGUCCCAAGUGGGGAAACGGAGCCUGGACACUGCUGUGCCGCUCCGUCUUACGCAGGAGGAGACCAGCGCGGCAGGACCUGGUUACCUGCCCAAGGUCAUACAAGCUGAAAGUGGCCAAGCCAAGAUUUGAACCAGGUUUAUCUGGGUCCAAAGCCAUUGCUUCUGGGAGCCGAGUGAGAGAGCCGGGUCUGUGAUGCUGUGAUGAGGAAACUGAGGCUCCGAGGCUCCUGACAUGCUGAACUCACCCAGCUGGAAAGUGGAAAGUGACAGAGCAGGGAUGUGCUCUUCCCACCUGACUGCACUGACGGACCAGAGUGGGGCUGCUGGGAGUCGAAACUGCCAAGUGUGGCUUGUCAGGGCCCUUGUCUGCAGCAUGCCCAAAACUGAAAAAUAAAUUGACUCAAGGGAGGGCGUUAGCCGGAUGGCGGGCCUGUGGGAGCUCGGUAUUUUUAGUCAUUUUGUCAUACAGACCAGGAUGGAAAGAUGAGAAACCACAGGGGCUGGCACACGCCUCGGGAUGAACUCAUGAGCCCAAAAUAGGUGGAGCCGAAGCCCUCAGAUGCUGGUCGUGGGGCGUCUGUGCUGACAAGCCACAGAAGUGCUAGGUUCUUUUUUGUGUUUUUCUGGGGCCCCAGACCUCUUUUAGAAGGUUGUAAUCAAAGGAUAUUUGAGCUAGAAAGAACCUUGAAGAUUUCAGAGUCUACUCCCUCUCUUGUACUAACAGGGAAACUGAGGCUGAGAGAAGAGCAGUUUCACAAACAUGAGCAUCAGAGCCAGGCCCUGUCCAGGCCCCUCAGCCGCAUCCUUCCCCCACGCCCCUCUGCCUGCCCGCCAGCCCUUACCCUGGCUGCCUCGCCCAUCCCAGGUGAGGAUGAGGCCGAGGCCGAGUGUGGAGAGUGCAGCUGCCAUGCAGGGAGCUAGAAAGCCCCGGCUCCGAUUCAGCCCCUUCGCUUGUGAACUUAGUGACCGUGGCUCUGCUGCUUUACCUUUUCUAUGAUGCCCAUUUCUCAAAUCACGAUGUUAUGGCUUUUUGUGAGAUUAUGAGACAAUAUAUAAACGUGACUUCCUGCUCCACCAACUUGGGGGAAUUUCUGGAAGGAGGGAGGUAUGUGAGGUGGUGUAGGAGACCCGUUGGUACCCUCCCACCAGCCAGUCCCUCCUUCCUCCCUCCUGGCAGAACCAGAUCGUGUCUGGGAGCUUCUCUCAUGGCAGGUGCCUCAAAGUGGUGGUCAGCCCCCAGGACAGGAGCAUCAGGAUGAUUGUAGUGACCUCAUUCUCCCGGCCAGGAACUGUUCAGUGUGUGCUUGCAAAACGGUUCUGACGAAUAAAAGAUGAAAGGACAUCUGCUGGAGGCUUCCAGGGAAGGUUCCUCCCUGAUUAAAAGGAUAAAAAAUCACAUGGGAAGAAACAGUCUCUGGAAAUUGUCAUGAAAAUGUGACAACUGGGUCUAUUACAGCUUCACCAUGAGGGGGUCAACCUGAGGACAGAGGAGAGCAGAGCAGAAAGAUGAAAAGAACCUGGGUCCUCGACAAGGGCCUUGCCUCUGACUGCUUGCUACAUGAGAUCACAAAUUCCUCGUCAUUUAAGCCAUUUACCUCAGAGGCUUUUGAUAUUUGAAGCCCAGAUCAUUCUAUCUGCUCCAGAUGAGUCCGGACAGAAGUACAUAGUAAUUUUACUUUUAAUGCCAAGGCUGACUCAGGACUUGACUCUCCUUGAGGCCCUUUCAAAAGACAGUGCAACCUCAUUAAUCCAGCAAAAUCUCCCUCUUUUAUGUGAACUUCCUGACGCAGCCUUUUAGCCCCUUGCUCCCGAGGGCUGCGUGUCGUGUUCAAGGCAUAUCACACUUAGAUCACAGGGUCAGCCAGGACAAUGAUGCCAGAAGACAUGGUGAGUGAUGUUUGCAUCAGUGGGUGUUAACCUGGUGGUGCUGGGCACCAAGCCCCACCCCAGCAAAUCACGAGGUUGGGGAGCUCGGUCUUCUGGGUCCAUCCCCUGGUCUGACAGUCCUCUUCCCACCUUGUGGUUCCAGCAUCCUCCUCGUGUUCUCUCACCAUUCCUCAACCGGGACCUGCCCUUGGAGGGUGGGCAGGAUCAAAUUUCCAGUGAGCAGGAGCUCAGGGGCUCAGUUCUGGCUCAGGUGCGAAUUCCCUGGAGAGGAGCCACGUCCCCAGUCUGAGCCUCGGUUUCCUCACCUAAUCAAUGAUGAGGUGGGGUUAUAGCAAGCCCUACUUCAACCAGAACAGCUCUGCUGUUGUUUGUUUAUGUGUCUGGGUUAGGUCUUAUUUCUGCCCCAAAAGUUUUAAAACCACUGGAUAAGAUUACCUUUAAGGGUCUUUCCAGAUCUAAGGUCCUUUCCUACCCGCCAUGGGUGACUGGGAACUAUCUAAAGCAAGGUUUGCGACACAGAUAUCCACAGGGCAGGGCAGGUGACGCGAACAAGAGAAGAGGGCCCAGGGGGAGGCAGCAGGGAACGGUGAGAACUAGAGUGAACACAUGCAUCUGAGCAGACCCACUGUAUUUAGUUGUUGCUUUGAGGGAAUUCAGGAUCGGGGUUCCCAGAGUUGAUCAUUUUUCAAGAGAAGCCAGAAAUCUGGAUUUCUACGGGAAAUAUUUGGAUACAAGCCAAAUAAAGCAAAUGUAGCUUGUGGGCUACCAAUUUGCAAUCCCCCAUCUGUAGAGUGACUCCCAUACAGAAGGACUGUUGAGUCGAGGGAAGGAAUAAAAGUAUAAUUAGAGUGACUGUUUAUUCAGUGUCUCUUGAGUGCCAAGCCCUGAGCCACGAGCUUCGUGGACAUCAUCUUGUUCAUUCCUUGCCACGACCCUAUGGCCUCUGUCUGAGUCCUUUGCCAGAGUCUGUGUCCCACCCUGUCCCGUCCCUCGCAGGUCAGCUUUGGCCUGCGAAGCCCUGCAGUUUUUCUGUCCCUCCCAGGGGCAGCCAGCCCUGAGCAUGCCCCUCAAACUGCCUCCCUGCUCUCUUCCCCUUCCAGUUGAAGGACAGAGUUUAAUUUGGGAGCAGGCUGGAGAGGGGGCCCGUGAAGACGUGGCCGAGGUCGAGGGGAGGCAGUGGUGGGAGGAAGGGGAAGAGUGGUGACCAGACUGUCAAUUCCAGCAUUGUCAAAUGUGGAGUCCCAGCUGGCCCUGACUCCAUUCUUUGCCCUAAAGGCCCAGGUGAGUAGGUGGGAAACCAGGAAGGGAGAAAAAUCAAGUUACUGAGCAACUCCUGUGCCCCAAACCCUGUCCUUUAUGUAUGUUGCUUCAUUUAAUC
This 3365-nucleotide long non-coding RNA is filed under the name Equus caballus (horse). RNAcentral describes it as "lncRNA (ENSECAG00000049554.1)". Lineage: Eukaryota; Metazoa; Chordata; Mammalia; Perissodactyla; Equidae. The record is from RNAcentral.